This 407-nucleotide ribosomal RNA is filed under the name uncultured bacterium. Its description in RNAcentral is "bacterial SSU rRNA". It matches the Rfam family "Bacterial small subunit ribosomal RNA", at positions 354 to 777 of the family's 1533-position model. The record is from RNAcentral.
GUGGGGGAUAUUGCACAAUGGGGGAAACCCUGAUGCAGCGACGCCGCGUGGGCGAGGAAGUAUUUCGGUAUGUAAAGCCCUAUCAGCAGGGAAGAAAAAAGACGGUACCUGAGUAAGAAGCCCCGGCUAAAUACGUGCCAGCAGCCGCGGUAAUACGUAUGGGGCAAGCGUUAUCCGGAUUUACUGGGUGUAAAGGGAGCGUAGGCGGCAAGGCAAGUCUGGUGUGAAAUACCGGGGCCCAACCCCGGGGCUGCACUGGAAACUGUCUUGCUGGAGUGCCGGAGGGGUAAGCGGAAUUCCUAGUGUAGCGGUGAAAUGCGUAGAUAUUAGGAGGAACACCAGUGGCGAAGGCGGCUUACUGGACGGCAACUGACGCUGAGGCUCGAAAGCGUGGGGAGCAAACAGGA